This 354-nucleotide ribosomal RNA is filed under the name Triticum aestivum (bread wheat). RNAcentral describes it as "partial small subunit ribosomal RNA". The record is from RNAcentral. Lineage: Eukaryota; Viridiplantae; Streptophyta; Magnoliopsida; Poales; Poaceae.
AUGAGUAAGGCACCAAAGAUGACUGGAAGCACUCAAAAAGUUUACCACGCUGGAGCUAUGUCAGGUACCUACUGUUCUUUUGUGUUGCGUGUUUUCUAUUUCCCGUCAGAAACUCAUUCCAUAAUCAAUUUGCAGGUUGUACAAGGGCAGUUAAUGAAUAUACUUGCGUUCCUUUUACUCUCAGAGUCUCCUCCUUUUCUCGCUGUUGAAUCCCUGCCACCAUCAUGUCCAGACUGGUUGUCUCCAUGGUUGUGGCGCCAAGGUCACCGCAUCUUACAUCCUGAUGCAUUUUCAAGAAGACAUUAUUUGAUGUUAGAUGGCCAUUAUGUUCGUGUCAUGUGGACAGAGGACUAA